GUAACGCGUAUGCAACCUACCCUAUACAGGGGGAUAGCCCGGAGAAAUCUGGAUUAAUACCGCAUAAUCUCUACGGAGUAAAGGGGGCCUCUAUUUAUAAGCUUUCACUAUUUGAUGAGCCUGCGUAAGAUUAGCUUGUUGGUGAGGUAAAAGCUCACCAAGGCGACGAUCUUUAGCUGGUCUGAGAGGAUGAUCAGCCACACUGGGACUGAGACACGGCCCAGACUCC
This 229-nucleotide ribosomal RNA is filed under the name uncultured bacterium. Its description in RNAcentral is "partial 16S ribosomal RNA". It matches the Rfam family "Bacterial small subunit ribosomal RNA", at positions 110 to 339 of the family's 1533-position model. The record is from RNAcentral.